RNAcentral lists this ribosomal RNA (612 nucleotides) under uncultured Methanocalculus sp. Its description in RNAcentral is "bacterial SSU rRNA". It matches the Rfam family "Archaeal small subunit ribosomal RNA", at positions 154 to 771 of the family's 1478-position model. Lineage: Archaea; Methanobacteriati; Methanobacteriota; Methanomicrobia; Methanomicrobiales; Methanocalculaceae. The record is from RNAcentral.
UCAUAGGAGACGGGUGCUGGAAUGCUCUGUCUCCCAAAGGUCCGCCGCCUGAGGAUGAGUCUGCGUCCGAUUAGGUAGUUGUUGGGGUAACGGCCCAACAAGCCUUUGAUCGGUACGGGUUGUGGGAGCAAGAGCCCGGAGAUGGAUUCUGAGACAUGAAUCCAGGCCCUACGGGGCGCAGCAGGCGCGAAAACUUUACAAUGCGAGCAAUCGUGAUAAGGAAACCCUGAGUGCCUGUCAAUGCAGGCUGUUCUGGUGUCUAACACACACCAGGAGAAAGGGCGGGGCAAGACCGGUGCCAGCCGCCGCGGUAAUACCGGCUGCUCGAGUGAUAGCCACUUUUACUGGGCUUAAAGCGUUCGUAGCUUGGUCGUUAAGUCUCUGGGGAAAUCUUUUGGCUCAACCAAAAGGCGUCUCAGGGAAACUGGCGAUCUUGGAACCGGGAGAGGUAAGACGUACUUCGGGGGUAGGAGUGAAAUCUUGUAAUCCCCGAGGGACGACCGAUGGCGAAGGCAUCUUACCAGAACGGCUUCGACAGUGAGGGACGAAAGCUGGGGGAGCAAACCGGAUUAGAUACCCGGGUAGUCCCAGCCGUAAACGAUGUGCGUUAGG